UGGUGGAGUGAUUUGUCUGGUUAAUUCCGAUAACGAACGAGACUCUGUCCUGCUAACUAGGUUGUGUUUUCUCGGGUUGGUGUUUCUGGUGUUCCUUCUCGGGGCGCCGGCCCAAUCCACUUGUGAACACAACACUCUUCUUAGAGGGACUGGCGGCUGUUAACCGCACGAGAUAGAGCAAUAACA
RNAcentral lists this ribosomal RNA (186 nucleotides) under uncultured eukaryote. Its description in RNAcentral is "partial 18S ribosomal RNA". It matches the Rfam family "Eukaryotic small subunit ribosomal RNA", at positions 1299 to 1458 of the family's 1831-position model. The record is from RNAcentral.